Molecule: ribosomal RNA, 402 nt
Filed under: uncultured bacterium
Lineage: Bacteria
Description: bacterial SSU rRNA
Rfam family: Bacterial small subunit ribosomal RNA
Source: RNAcentral
UGGGGAAUAUUGGACAAUGGGCGAAAGCCUGAUCCAGCAAUGCCGCGUGAGUGAUGAAGGCCCUAGGGUUGUAAAGCUCUUUUACCCGGGAUGAUAAUGACAGUACCGGGAGAAUAAGCUCCGGCUAACUCCGUGCCAGCAGCCGCGGUAAUACGGAGGGAGCUAGCGUUGUUCGGAAUUACUGGGCGUAAAGCGUGCGUAGGCGGUCUGUUAAGUCUGCUGUGAAAUCCCCGGGCUCAACCUGGGAAUGGCAGUGGAAACUGGCGGGCUAGAGUACGGUAGAGGAUGGUGGAAUUCCCGGUGUAGCGGUGAAAUGCGUAGAGAUCGGGAGGAACACCAGUGGCGAAGGCGGCCAUCUGGACCAGUACUGACGCUGAGGCACGAAAGCGUGGGGAGCAAACA